CUAAGUCCUAUGCUCCACUGAAAGAAACCAGGGCUCCUUGAAGAAACAGCUGAUUCCAGGAUUGUGGGCAGGGAAAAUACAAGAGGAGCUUGAAACACCUGUUGUACCAGAAAGUAGGGAAGUGGUCCAAGAACGGUGGUCACAUGUGAAAGACACAAGAGCCAGCUUGAAGGGACUCCCACUGGUCAAGAAGGCCUGGGUGUAAGCCCUGCCUCCAUCAAUCUCAAGACAUGGAACCUCAGGAAAGGGAGGGAGGCACCGCUGAGGACGUGCACAACUAUGAGGGCAUCUUUACCCAGUUCUUCACUGUAAGUCAUUAUUACCCUGGACUCAAACUGUUUGGAGACCUGGCUGGGCUCUGAGUGAACCUUCAGUUAGGAAGCCACAGCAGAAUCUACUGAAGCAAGCUGCAGACUGCUGGCACUUGAUGUCGCACCAGUUCAGUUUGGUUUCAUUUUCCUCCCCAGCUGGCUCUUGAAAUACUCCUCUAGAUUGCAAAACAAUGCUGUGACCCUCUGACGGUCCCCAAACGUGGGUUAUCAGAAUAUCCUGAAGCUCCAUAGUAGAUUCCCUGGGCCACCUUUCUUAAGCCUGUCCUGUACCACUGGGGCACUCCCGGAACACGCAUUCUAACCAGCGCCUCGCGCGGACCGAGCUGGUUCCCUCUGAAAGAGGUGCGGUGAGUCAAGCACUUGGCAGGUGCUAUCCGUGUAGGUUUAUCUUUCUCUCCCAGGUCUUUUCUGUAGACAUGCAAUUUGGGAAGGCUGCCUCGCAUCAGUGAAAAGGAAUCCACUCUGGCUUUCUACCAGCCUUGGUUGGAAACUUGCAGAGAGGCAGGAUAUCAAACCUGUGAGCCUGUGUCCUCAUCUGUAAGAGGAAGCUAUUGAUCACACCUACUGGCUUUCCAUUAAACAAACAAAAGAACCAUAACCCACGGUGAGAAAUACAUUUGCAUUCUGGCCCAGUACACUUAUACUCCUAUGAGAGUGUAUAACAAACUUUCCCAAAACAAU
This is a long non-coding RNA of Molossus molossus (Pallas's mastiff bat), 1013 nucleotides long. RefSeq lists it as uncharacterized. Lineage: Eukaryota; Metazoa; Chordata; Mammalia; Chiroptera; Molossidae. The transcript has 4 exons. The record is from RefSeq and is a predicted model, not a curated record.